AGGAUUGUAGUAGUGUUGCAGAAGGUGAGAGGGGAAAUUGAGGGGGGUUGUCACUGACCUGAUUGAGUGAGGGAUUUGGUGAGGAUGAGUGGGCUUUCCAUUGAUUCGAUUGAGUGAGGGAGGGGGAGAGAGAGGGCAGAGAGAAGAUGGCGGAAUUUAAGGAACAAGGCCAUGCUUGCAGAGACUCAACCAUUGCCUUCAGCUCAAUCUCUCUCGCAUAAAAGACGUUCUCUCUCUCCCUCCCUUUUUUUUGGUGAUAUUUUUUUUUUUGGGAUUUUUGAGAAAUUCGGUGCUGAAAAGAAAUGAUCUUGAUCUUAGGUCCGGCCAACAAAUCCCUUCUCUAAAUUCAUCUUAUUUGGUCUCUUGGUAAACUGUUUUUAUCUGGGUUUUACAGUUAUAGUUGCAGCCACCAAGUUCCUACCAUAACACAGACCAAGUUGUAGCCACAACUCCAACAAAAGGCUUUCACGAUUAAGUUAAAAAAAAAAAAGGAGCCAUGAAGCUUUUGCCGUGAGAAAACCUUAGGCAUGAAAGCAAAGAAACUUUAUUGCUUCAGAUUGAAGUUCAUCCAAUCUUUCUUGAGAGAGGAGAGUUGCAAAGCUUGGGAGCAAUCUAUAGUCUAGAAAGCCGGAGGUGGAGCCUAGCUUCAAAGAGUUUGAAGGCCUAGGUUUUGGUGGUGUUGGCAUUUGUAUUCUUCAGAUGGAGAUGAGAAAAAGGAAAACUUCAGAAAGGCAGAGGGUUGAACUCCGCCUUUGGGUUGGAAACAAUUAUCAGAAAGUUAGAGAAAAUGAAGGUUCAGAGAGAAGAAGAGGAUUUUUAGUUUGAAGGGAUGAAGUUGUUUCACUGUUUAAGGUAUUAUAUUCAUUAUUUUGAUUCAACGAAUCUUAUUUUAAUUAUGUUCUUCUUAUUUAUGUUGGAAGAUGUUGAUUUUUAGUCGAUGUGGUUUUGUUCUAUUUUAUGAAAUUUGGUGUUCGAGUUUAGACUUGGAUGAA
Long non-coding RNA from Malus domestica (apple), 992 nucleotides. RefSeq lists it as uncharacterized. Lineage: Eukaryota; Viridiplantae; Streptophyta; Magnoliopsida; Rosales; Rosaceae. The record is from RefSeq and is a predicted model, not a curated record.